RNAcentral lists this ribosomal RNA (229 nucleotides) under uncultured bacterium. RNAcentral describes it as "partial 16S ribosomal RNA". It matches the Rfam family "Bacterial small subunit ribosomal RNA", at positions 147 to 353 of the family's 1533-position model. The record is from RNAcentral.
CAGACGGAAACGAACUGCUAAUACCGAAUAAGUUCCAAGAGCCGCAUGGCCCAUGGAAGAAAAGGUGGCCUCUACCUGUAAGCUAUCGCCUGAAGAGGGGUUUGGCGUCUGAUUAGCUGGUUGGAGGGGGUAACGGGCCCACCAAGGCGACGAUCAGUAGCCGGUCUGAGAGGAUGAACGGCCACACUGGAACUGAGACACGGUCCAGACUCCUACGGGAGGCAGCAUG